AUUGCACGCUGGCGGCAGGCUUAACACAUGCAAGUCGAGCGCGCGGCGGACGGGUGAGUAAUGUAUUGGAAACUGCCUGAUAGAGGGGGAUAACUACUGGAAACGGUAGCUCAUACCACAUACCAUCAGAUGUGCACAGAUGGGAUUAGCUAGUAGGUGUGGUAAUGGAGCACCUAGGCGACGAGCCCUAGCUGUUCUGAGAGGAAGGCCAGCCCCACUGGGACUGAGACACGGCCCAGACUCCGACUGUAGGCAGCAGGGGGGAAUAUUGCACAAUGGGCGAAAGCCUGAUGCAGCCAUGCCGCGUGUGUGAAGAAGGCCUUCGGGUUGUAAAGCACUUUCAGCGAGGAGGCGUUACUCGCAGAAGAAGCACCGGCUAACUCCGUGCCAGCAGCCGCGGUAAUAC
RNAcentral lists this ribosomal RNA (406 nucleotides) under uncultured bacterium. RNAcentral's name for it is "partial 16S ribosomal RNA". It matches the Rfam family "Bacterial small subunit ribosomal RNA", at positions 30 to 526 of the family's 1533-position model. The record is from RNAcentral.